Molecule: transfer RNA, 74 nt
Filed under: Abditibacteriaceae bacterium
Lineage: Bacteria; Pseudomonadati; Abditibacteriota; Abditibacteriia; Abditibacteriales; Abditibacteriaceae
Description: Abitibacteriaceae bacterium (rhizosphere metagenome) tRNA-Leu
Rfam family: tRNA
About the family: Transfer RNA (tRNA) molecules are approximately 80 nucleotides in length.
Source: RNAcentral
GCUCGCGUAGCCCAAUUGGUAGAGGCAAUAGACUUAGGAUCUAUCGAGUGCGGGUUCGAGUCCCUCCGCGAGCA